CCGAGCUACCUGGGCUGGUAAGGCGCCCAGGUGCUGUGGGGAUUCCCUCGCCUGUUCCCUCUCGCUCCCGGGCCUGCUGGGUGAGGAGGAGUCUGCGAGGUUCCUGAGCUGAACCGGCCCAUAGAGACCCUGAUGAACACUGAAGCAGAGCGCUGGGGACAGGGAGAAGAGGCAAAUAAGGAGCGUUUUAAAGGCAGUUUCCAACGGAGGGGCUGAAAAGAACUCUGACAACUCACCAGGUCUCACCGCUGGGUCACCAGCUGCUUUAUUGAGACAGCAAACCAGAGCUGCC
RNAcentral lists this long non-coding RNA (292 nucleotides) under Columba livia (rock pigeon). Its description in RNAcentral is "partial uncharacterized LOC102097177". Lineage: Eukaryota; Metazoa; Chordata; Aves; Columbiformes; Columbidae. The record is from RNAcentral.